ACAACCAUAUCACAUUAAAACACUGGUUCCUAUUUGAUUACCAAAAUUAAGCAAUGUCUAGCCUUGUCACUACUUGGAAGGGUGACCGCUUGGGAAUACCAGGUGCUGUAAG
Molecule: non-coding RNA, 112 nt
Organism: Acanthosepion pharaonis
Lineage: Eukaryota; Metazoa; Mollusca; Cephalopoda; Sepiida; Sepiidae
Source: the annotation of a GenBank genome assembly